This 378-nucleotide ribosomal RNA is filed under the name Triticum aestivum (bread wheat). RNAcentral's name for it is "partial small subunit ribosomal RNA". The record is from RNAcentral. Lineage: Eukaryota; Viridiplantae; Streptophyta; Magnoliopsida; Poales; Poaceae.
AUGUCCCCUAUACUGUUCAACAUAGUGGCAGAUAUGUUGGCAGUACUUAUCGAUAGGGCCAAGGAGAGUGGCCAAGUAGGGGGACUAGUUCCUCAUCUUGUUGAUGGAGGGCUCUCCAUACUACAGUACGCUGACCACACUAUAAUAUUCAUGGAACAUGAUAUCGCAAAGGCUAGAAAUAUGAAGUUAGUACUUUGUCUUUUUGAACAAUUGUCAGGGUUAAAAAUAAAAUUUAAUAAGAGCGAAUUGUUCUGCUUUGGAAGAGCCAAAGAGGAACAAGAUGCAUAUAGACAAUUGUUCGGUUGUGAAAUAGGAUCCUUGCCUUUCAGCUACCUCGGAAUCCCAAUUCACCAUCGCAAACUGACAAAUAAAGAAUGA